CCUACGGGAGGCAGCAGUGAGGAAUAUUGGUCAAUGGACGCAAGUCUGAACCAGCCAAGUAGCGUGCAGGAUGACGGCCCUCCGGGUUGUAAACUGCUUUUAGUUGGGAAUAAAAUGGGGCUCGUGAGCCCCGUAUUGUAUGUACCAUCAGAAAGAGGACCGGCUAAUUCCGUGCCAGCAGCCGCGGUAAUACGGAAGGUCCGGGUGUUAUCCGGAUUUAUUGGGUUUAAAGGGAGCGUAGGCCGGCUUUUAAGUCAGCUGUGAAAGUCCGCGGCUCAACCGUGGAAUUGCAGUUGAUACUGGAGGCCUUGAGUGCACACAGGGAUGCCGGAAUUCAUGGUGUAGCGGUGAAAUGCUUAGAUAUCAUGAAGAACUCCGAUCGCGAAGGCAGGUGUCCGGGGUGCAACUGACAUUGAUGCUCGAAAGUGUGGGUAUCGAACAGGAUUAGAUACCCUAGUAGUC
This 462-nucleotide ribosomal RNA is filed under the name uncultured bacterium. Its description in RNAcentral is "partial 16S ribosomal RNA". It matches the Rfam family "Bacterial small subunit ribosomal RNA", at positions 338 to 795 of the family's 1533-position model. The record is from RNAcentral.